GACGAACGCUGGCGGCGUGCUUAACACAUGCAAGUCGAACGAAGUGGCGAACGGGUGAGUAACGCGUAAUCAACCUGCCCUUCAGAGGGGGACAACAGUUGGAAACGACUGCUAAUACCGCAUACUGAAGGAGGGGAUUGCGUCGGAUUAGCUGGUUGGAGGGGUAACGGCCCACCAAGGCGAUGAUCAGUAGCCGGGCUGAGGGGAUGAACGGGCAAAUUGGGACGGGGACAAGGCCCAGACUCCUACGGGAGGCAACAGGGGGGAAUCGUCCGCAAUGGACGAAAGUCUGACGGAGCAACGCCGCGGGGGGGAUGACGGCCUUCGGGUUGUAAAGCUCUGUUAAUCGGGACGCGGUACCGGAAUAGAAAGCCACGGCUAACUACGUGCCAGCAGCCGCGGUAAUUC
This 408-nucleotide ribosomal RNA is filed under the name uncultured bacterium. Its description in RNAcentral is "partial 16S ribosomal RNA". It matches the Rfam family "Bacterial small subunit ribosomal RNA", at positions 28 to 526 of the family's 1533-position model. The record is from RNAcentral.